RNAcentral lists this ribosomal RNA (477 nucleotides) under uncultured bacterium. Its description in RNAcentral is "partial 16S ribosomal RNA". It matches the Rfam family "Bacterial small subunit ribosomal RNA", at positions 29 to 523 of the family's 1533-position model. The record is from RNAcentral.
AGUGAACGCUGGCGGCGUGCUUAACACAUGCAAGUCGAACGAGAACGGGUUAUAGCUUGCUAUAAUUGUCAGCUAAGUGGCGCACGGGUGAGUAAUGUAUAGGUAAUAUGCCUCUUACUAAGGGAUAACAAAUGGAAACGUUUGCUAAUACCUUAUACUCCUUAUUAACAGAAGUUAAUAAGGGAAAGAUUUAUUGGUUAGAGAUUAGCCUGUAUUGUAUCAGUUAGUCGGUGGGGUAAUGGCUUACCAAGACUAUGACACAUAACUGGUUUGAGAGGAUGAUCAGUCACACUGGAACUGAGACACGGUCCAGACUCCUACGGAUGGCAGCAACUGGGAAUAUUCGGCAAUGGGCGAAAGCCUGACCGAGCGACGCCGCGUGAAGGAUGAAGCCUCUUGGGGUGUAAACUUCUUUUAUUGGGUCAUGAAGACCCUUUGAAUAAGCACCUACAAACUACGUGCCAGCCGCCGCGGUAA